ACACUCAGCCCUGGACCGAUGUGACUGGAGAUGUCUUGAGAUGGACAGGAACAGGCGCAGGGAGGAGCAGGAGGAGUGUAAAGCCCUUACAGGAGAAGCUGACUGCCCCUAGAUGAAGAGACCAGAAUGAGAAGGAGGCCAUUUAUGGUUUGCAAUUCAGAACAAGGACACCAUGAAAAGAAGAUGAUGGGCAGGAUUCUGAAAUGAAACCAUGACACACACUUGUAAGGUGAAACUGCAGUCACUUUUCAAAUCCAGAUGAACCACAAAAACCAAGCAGAACUGUACACAUCACAGGCAACUUCUCCUGAAAGAAACUGAGUUGGGCCCACCCAAAUGAGCAAGCACAAACAGAAACGUGUUGUCUUCCCAGAA
This 375-nucleotide long non-coding RNA is filed under the name Homo sapiens (human). RNAcentral describes it as "HSALNT0292494". The record is from RNAcentral. Lineage: Eukaryota; Metazoa; Chordata; Mammalia; Primates; Hominidae.